Molecule: ribosomal RNA, 253 nt
Filed under: uncultured bacterium
Lineage: Bacteria
Description: partial 16S ribosomal RNA
Rfam family: Bacterial small subunit ribosomal RNA
Source: RNAcentral
UACGGAGGGGGCUAGCGUUGUUCGGAAUUACUGGGCGUAAAGCGCGCGUAGGCGGUUCUGCAAGUCGGGGGUGAAAUCCCGAGGCUCAACCUCGGAACUGCCUUCGAUACUGCGGGUCUCGAGUCCGGGAGAGGUGAGUGGAAUUCCUAGUGUAGAGGUGAAAUUCGUAGAUAUUAGGAAGAACACCAGUGGCGAAGGCGGCUUCCUGGUCCAGCACCGACGUUCAGGCACGAAAGCGUGGGGAGCAAACAGG